UGGUGUGCUGUGAACACAGGGAGGAAAGAAAGUUUCAGUUGGUUUAUUCAUUUCCUUUCACCCAAUCACUGUACUGUUACUGUAUGUCUCUCCUUAAUUCACGUCAAGGACUUGAUCAAACCACUAAUCAUGUUUAACUUACUUAGAAUGUGUUAUCAUUUCUGAGAUAAUUCAGAUAUCACUAAAGGUGGUCACUUGAUAUGGGGAUUGGGGCAAAAAGUCACUAUUUCACUAUUUGUUAGCUUUUUUUCUUUCCUUGUGAAUACCAACACAAAUCAAUCGCUUUAUACAGGCCACACAAGACAGUCUGGAUGUAACAUUCAGUAAAUCUCAGUAAACUUUCAACGUUUUUCCGAAAAUGAUUAUGGAAUGUUUUGGCAACUUCCAUCAAUGGCUUGAUACAUAAGUAGGAUAAAAGGACAAUAACGUUUGUAAAGCUUGAGUACUUGACCAGGGCAAGAUUACCAUUAGCCUAGUAUUAGCAAGAAUUCUUCAUCUCUGCGUUUAAAAUUAAACCUUAUUUGAAUAAUUCUGUCUAUUUCACCCAGAACAACCACUUUUCAGCUAUCAGGGCAAAUAUAUUAUGAAUUUACAAAUGUGAUUGAAGGCACUGGACAGUAUUUUCCUGGAAGGUGGAAGGUACUUGAUGGAAGGUGGAGAAAAGCUAACCGAUGCCAUGAUUAAAAUGAAGAGAAAAAAAACGUUGAAUCUCCACAUAGUGUGGAAAGUAACAUUUUCCCCCCUAUUCUAUAAGCAUUGAGUCCAGUGGUUUGUUUAUCAUGCCUUUGCCAAUGUCUCUGGGUCGCUUCCAUCAAUGACAACCUCAUGUCCAUGGAAGAUGACCUCAAAGCCACAACGUAUCACAGACAGAUAUCCAGGUCCACGCUGUAUUUGUGUUCCCCUCCAUGUAAUUGUUGUAAUAUACAAUUUAGGAUCCCCCCCAUAUCUUCAUUUUAUUUAUUCUAUUUAUGAAUUACUUUAAGUUAUAGCUGUCUGAAAUAUUACAUUUCUAAGUGAUUUGUUAUUUUGCCAAACCAAAUUGUACGAUCUAAGCACAAUCAGUGUUAUUGAUUUAGUUGAUCAAUACUUGUACAUCCCCUAUUGAAACUUUGAAAGAUUUUUCCUUCUUUCAUGACUGACAAGUCAGUGUGUAUGAUAUUGAGUCAGUGUAUAAGGACAUGUGUUCGUAAGGACAUGCAUGCAUCAGUGGAAUUGUUUUAUUUUCCCUUUUUUACUUAGACUCUAUUUUAUCCCAAAAGUGGGUGUUUGGGAAUGAUAUCUGGACUUUUUAAUCAAUUUAAUUGAUUCUGAUCUUUGUUGGUGUGUGUUUGUCUCUGUAAAAAGACAAAUAGAAUUUUGCCCUCAAAAUUGUUGUUAUUUUAAAAUAUUUCAAAUUCAGUCAACAGAAUUGUCAAUAGGAAUAAUUGCUAUGACAGAAAUAGAUUCUUGCUUCGCUGCUCCUCUUGAUGUUUGGUUGUACAUGCCUGUGAAUGAGGUGAAGGUAUUGGUAUUAUUAAAUGCCUGUGAAUGAGGUGAAGGUAUUGGUAUUAUUAAAUGCCUGUGAAUGAGGUGAAGGUAUUGGUAUUAUUAAAUGCCUGUGAAUGAGGUGAAGGUAUUGGUAUUAUUAAAUGCCUGUGAAUGAGGUGAAGGUAUUGGUAUUAUUAAAUGCCUGUGAAUGAGGUGAAGGUAUUGGUAUUAUUAAAUGCCUGUGAAUGAGGUGAAGGUAUUGGUAUUAUUAAAUGCCUGUGAAUGAGGUGAAGGUAUUGGUAUUAUUAAAUGCCUGUGAAUGAGGUGAAGGUAUUGGUAUUAUUAAAUGCCUGUGAAUGAGGUGAAGGUAUUGUUGUUAUUAAAUGCCUGUGAAUGAGGUGAAGGUAUUGGUAUUAUUAAAUGCCUGUGAAUGAGGUGAAGAUAUUGGUAUUAUUAAAUGCCUGUGAAUGAGGUGAAGGUAUUGGUGUUAUUAAAUGCCUGUGAAUGAGGUGAAGGUAUUGGUGUUAUUAAAUGCCUGUGAAUGAGGUGAAGGUAUUGGUGUUAUUAAAUGCCUGUGAAUGAGGUGAAGGUAUUGGUGUUAUUAAAUGCCUGUGAAUGAGGUGAAGGUAUUGGUGUUAUUAAAUGCCUGUGAAUGAGGUGAAGGUAUUGGUGUUAUUAAAUGCCUGGGAAUGAGGUGAAGGUAUUGGUGUUAUUAAAUGCCUGUGAAUGAGGUGAAGGUAUUGGUAUUAUUAAAUGCCUGUGAAUGAGGUGAAGGUAUUGGUAUUAUUAAAUGCCUGUGAAUGAGGUGAAGGUAUUGGUGUUAUUAAAUGCCUGUGAAUGAGGUGGAGGUAUUGGUAUUAUUAAAUGCCUGUGAAUGAGCUGAAGGUAUUGGUGUUAUUAAAUGCCUGUGAAUGAGGUGAAGGUAUUGGUAUUACUAAAUGCCUGUGAAUGAGGUGAAGGUAUUGGUGUUAUUAAAUGCCUGUGAAUGAGGUGAAGAUAUUGGUAUUAUUAAAUGCCUGUGAAUGAGGUGAAUGUAUUGGUGUUAUUAAAUGCCUGUGAAUGAGGUGAAGGUAUUGGUGUUAUUAAAUGCCUGUGAAUGAGGUGAAGGUAUUGGUGUUAUUAAAUGCCUGGGAAUGAGGUGAAGGUAUUGGUAUUAUUAAAUGCCUGGGAAUGAGGUGAAGGUAUUGGUGUUAUUAAAUGCCUGUGAAUGAGGUGAAGGUAUUGGUAUUAUUAAAUGCCUGUGAAUGAGGUGACGGUAUUGGUGUUAUUAAAUGCCUGUGAAUGAGGUGAAGGUAUUGGUGUUAUUAAAUGCCUGUGAAUGAGGUGAAGGUAUUGGUAUUAUUAAAUGCCUGUGAAUGAGGUGAAGGUAUUGGUGUUAUUAAAUGCCUGUGAAUGAGGUGAAGGUAUUGGUGUUAUUAAAUGCCUGUGAAUGA
This is a long non-coding RNA of Oncorhynchus tshawytscha (Chinook salmon), 2900 nucleotides long. RefSeq lists it as uncharacterized. The record is from RefSeq and is a predicted model, not a curated record. NCBI's taxonomy places the organism in Eukaryota, Metazoa, Chordata, Actinopteri, Salmoniformes, Salmonidae. The transcript is spliced from 2 exons.